Molecule: ribosomal RNA, 500 nt
Filed under: uncultured Glomeromycotina
Lineage: Eukaryota; Fungi; Glomeromycota
Description: SSU rRNA
Rfam family: Eukaryotic small subunit ribosomal RNA
Source: RNAcentral
CCAAUAGCGUAUAUUAAAGUUGUUGCAGUUAAAAAGCUCGUAGUUGAAUUUCGGGAUCAAUUUGCUGGUCGUGCCUCUGGUACGUACUGGUAUUAUUGGUUUCUCCCUUCUGACGAACCAUGAUGUCAUUAAUUUGAUGUCGUGGAGAAUCAGGACUGUUACUUUGAAAAAAUUAGAGUGUUUAAAGCAGGCAUUAGCUUGAAUACAUUAGCAUGGAAUAAUGAAAUAGGACGUUUGAUCCUAUUUUGUUGGUUUCUAGGAUUGACGUAAUGAUUAAUAGGGAUAGUUGGGGGCAUUAGUAUUCAAUUGUCAGAGGUGAAAUUCUUGGAUUUAUUGAAGACUAACUACUGCGAAAGCAUUUGCCAAGGAUGUUUUCAUUAAUCAAGAACGAAAGUUAGGGGAUCGAAGACGAUCAGAUACCGUCGUAGUCUUAACCAUAAACUAUGCCGACUAGGGAUCGGAUGAUGUUAAUUUUUUAAUGACUCAUUCGGCGCCUUACG